This 832-nucleotide ribosomal RNA is filed under the name Microbacteriaceae bacterium ACEMC 25-6. RNAcentral describes it as "bacterial SSU rRNA". It matches the Rfam family "Bacterial small subunit ribosomal RNA", at positions 42 to 883 of the family's 1533-position model. The record is from RNAcentral. Lineage: Bacteria; Bacillati; Actinomycetota; Actinomycetes; Micrococcales; Microbacteriaceae.
GCGUGCUUAACACAUGCAAGUCGAACGAUGAACCAGGAGCUUGCUCUUGGGGAUUAGUGGCGAACGGGUGAGUAACACGUGAGUAACCUGCCCUUGACUCUGGGAUAAGCGUUGGAAACGACGUCUAAUACCGGAUACGAGCUUCCACCGCAUGGUGAGUUGCUGGAAAGAAUUUUGGUCAAGGAUGGACUCGCGGCCUAUCAGCUUGUUGGUGAGGUAACGGCUCACCAAGGCGACGACGGGUAGCCGGCCUGAGAGGGUGACCGGCCACACUGGGACUGAGACACGGCCCAGACUCCUACGGGAGGCAGCAGUGGGGAAUAUUGCACAAUGGGCGAAAGCCUGAUGCAGCAACGCCGCGUGAGGGACGACGGCCUUCGGGUUGUAAACCUCUUUUAGCAGGGAAGAAGCGAAAGUGACGGUACCUGCAGAAAAAGCACCGGCUAACUACGUGCCAGCAGCCGCGGUAAUACGUAGGGUGCAAGCGUUGUCCGGAAUUAUUGGGCGUAAAGAGCUCGUAGGCGGUUUGUCGCGUCUGCUGUGAAAUCCCGAGGCUCAACCUCGGGUCUGCAGUGGGUACGGGCAGACUAGAGUGCGGUAGGGGAGAUUGGAAUUCCUGGUGUAGCGGUGGAAUGCGCAGAUAUCAGGAGGAACACCGAUGGCGAAGGCAGAUCUCUGGGCCGCUACUGACGCUGAGGAGCGAAAGGGUGGGGAGCAAACAGGCUUAGAUACCCUGGUAGUCCACCCCGUAAACGUUGGGCGCUAGAUGUGGGGACCAUUCCACGGUUUCCGUGUCGUAGCUAACGCAUUAAGCGCCCCGCCUGGGGAGUAC